RNAcentral lists this unclassified non-coding RNA (215 nucleotides) under soil metagenome. RNAcentral's name for it is "partial contains 5.8S ribosomal RNA, internal transcribed spacer 2, and large subunit ribosomal RNA". The record is from RNAcentral.
AACCUAGCACACCUGCGGUGUGUACCUGCGGAAGGAUCAUUACAUGAUUUAACAGGGAGUGGAGGCUUCGGCCAAAGCUCUGUCUGAACCCAUGUCUUUUGCGUACUUCUUGUUUCCUCGGUGGGCUUGCCCGCCGAUAGGACAACCUUAAACUCUUUGCAAUUGCAAUCAGCGUCUGAAAAACUAUAAUAGUUACAACUUUUAACAACGGAUCU